Molecule: unclassified non-coding RNA, 1214 nt
Filed under: Zea mays
Lineage: Eukaryota; Viridiplantae; Streptophyta; Magnoliopsida; Poales; Poaceae
Description: misc RNA Zm00001eb008840
Source: RNAcentral
CAGGAAUCAAACGGCAGGCAGGAGGCAGCUUAUGACGUCCAAGCACCAGCUAGCCUAGCCGGCCACUCAUCCUUGCGAGGCAGGAAAGGAUUACAGUCCCAAGACACUGAACAAUACAGCUUCGCAAGGGAUCGAGAAGCAGACAAGAAGAAGAGAACGGGCAACGUCGAUACGGCUAAAAGGACGGUAACUGGUACCAAGGUCAGCCCUCGCAAGAAAUGCCUCGACGGGAACCGGACACCCGGGAAGACGUCAGGCGCGAGCCGUGCCCGCCCGUCCCGACCCAGGCGUGCCCAAACAACGAUGCACGCCGUCUCGGCGCGACGCGCGCACCCGUCGGCAUCAAACUGUGCGCUGGACGGGACCGGUCGGCUGAGCCCGGGAGGAUCGGUGGACGGCCUUGGAGCCUUCUCCCUUGGCCCCGGGCGGACGCCGUGCGGGCGCAACGGGAUGCCGCGGGGCCGCGACGCCGGCUACGGACACCGCCCGCGCCCCGGGCCGAUGCCGCCACGGAGAAGCGGCUCGUGGACUUUCCGCGUUCGAGAUGAACCAAGUCACGAGCCGACGCGCCCAGCUCGCGCGCGCUACUCGGAACGGACGGAGCGGAGGCCCCCAACCGGAGCGAGCGCGCGCCCGUGGGCCUGGCUCGCUCGUUGGAAGCUUGAGACGAGUAAAGAAAGAAAGGAACACGCCCCCGGGUGUCGCGCGCGGGCGUACGUGGUGGGCGCGCCCGGGAUGCCUGGAAAACGGCUGGGGGAAGGCCGGGCGCGCGGUCGACUGCGUGCGAGCCACGGCGCGCGUCGUCCGUGCGCGACUGGGCGGGGCGAUACUAUUAUUAUCGCGUGUCCUCUCGCCUGUGCGUCCGUGCACGCAUGGCUGUUGCCGUGGCGACACCGGUGUUACAGGGCGCGCGUGUGUCCUCCGUCCGAUGCGCCGGGCAGGCAGACCGACCGUUUCUGCGGUUCGAAGCCUGUAGCCUGGUGCUGCACGACCGUAGCGUCGUGUCUAUUGAGGCAGUACGACGGGACUGGUUGGCCCGUGACUUCACGUUUUUAUCCAGCUCUCACGCAUUUUUCUUCUCCUCUGUUUUCCCGCGAGAGAUCGGGCCAAAAUCAUACGGUACAUGUAUGUUCUGCAUUUUUUUUUCUUCUAUAUGAGCAUACGUGCCAAAAGCUAGUACUACUACCUAGAAAAGAUGAUAAUCUAUAUACAUG